RNAcentral lists this long non-coding RNA (1675 nucleotides) under Helianthus annuus (common sunflower). RNAcentral describes it as "hypothetical non coding rna". Lineage: Eukaryota; Viridiplantae; Streptophyta; Magnoliopsida; Asterales; Asteraceae. The record is from RNAcentral.
UCUUACUGCGGAUGUGUCAGUAGAUUUUCGCACAUUUAGUAAGUUGAAACGAGAUAUAAACCUAAAUUCAAACUUGCUUGAUUCGUGGGUAACUAUUCUUGAAUAUAUGGGUAACCCCCGAAAUCUUGUUUGAAAGGUCCCGUAUUCUGAGAUACUAGGUCUUUAUGCUCAGUGAUAUCUGGGGUAUUAUCCCGGGACUUCGGCUGUAUGGAAAUACUGACCUAGUCCCUGGAUAAUACUUUCUACUAAAGCUUUGAAACAUAAGCUUCGCCCUCAGCAUGCUGAUAAAACAAUAAAAUUGAUAGUCGCUGUUGUUGAAAUUCAAAAGAUCCUCUAAAGGGGACCCACCAAAAGUCGAGCCGUCAUCUCUCUGCUGAACGGAAGUUCUGACCUGAGCUCUCACGGUUUCGCAUCUACCCCUUUACGGAUAUCAGCUGUGGUAUACUCACCUGUAAGACUGAAUAUUUGGGAUCUGGAUACGGGAGUAUAUUCAAGUGGAGUGAUACACAAUUAAGUUUAAGUCUCUAAAACAUUAAUAUCAUUUCUCGAAUCAAUUGAAAUUUGUGUUGAGAAUUUAAGAGGACAAACAUACUGACAAUCUAGGUAAAUUGUUUAAAACUUAAAAUGUAAUCAAGCUUAACGGUGUUAGUGAUUGGUCUCAGAAUCUGAUAUGAUCCUCUCGCACGAACUCACAAAAAUAUUGUCUGUAAAUAUUUUAUUUCUGCAUUUUAGUCUAUCAGAAAACCCAAAGAGUUUUUUUUUGUGUGUUUUAGCAUAAAUUUUGAAAAAGUCAAAAAGAUUUUCGACAACUGACAUUGGAAAACUGAUUUUCAAAAUUCCGAGCGCUAAACAUGAUGAGCAGCAUUUGAGGGGGAGUGUUUGUGUAAAACUAAAUGUUUUUUCGAUAAUCUAACCUUUUCAUGUGGUUCAUCAUAGAUAUUUGAGAGAAAGUUUGAGUUAGUGCACGAUUAUAUGUUUGUUUUGGUGCAUAUGAGGGGAGUCAAGUGUAGACAGGUUUCGAUCUUGGAUCUGAAGAUAGAGUGUCAGAUUUCAAUUCCUGAAGACUUCUGUUAGAGCCAAGUCGAUCAAUUCUGAAGAUCUGGAUAGAGUCAGACAAAGAUCCUGAAGAUGUUACUGAAGAACAAAAGAAUGCCAGUAAAUCGAGAGGGAGAGUCUGAAAAUAGAGAGAGAAUAAAACCCAAAGACUGAUCAAGACUGAAGAUGUGAAGACUCGGAGACGGUGCUCGAUAGUCGACUCCAUCAACAUCUGAGGGGGAGUUUGUUGGUGCACUACAUCUGUUGAUUUCGUCUUGGAUCGAAUCUUACACUGAAAUGUAUAGAUUAGGGCUCGAAUUACGAGAAAAUAGGAGAUUGUAUAGAAAUUGGGCUUAGGUUCGCUCAUGUGGUCCAAUUGGUCAUAGGUCCGCUCGAACGGAGAUGUAACUGGUCCGCUCGAACGGUUAAGUGUCUUGGUCCGCUUAUUUUUCAUGUUGCUUGGUCCGCUCGAGUGACAAGAACAUGGUUCGCUUAUUGGGCUGUCCAAUAAGCGAACGGAACAGCCUAUAUAUAGUAGCUGUUCGAGCGAUCCAAGAAGAACAAGUGUGAUUUCUACGCCGAAGCUCUGUUGGUGUGAGAUUUGGACUGUACAACUUGACAAAUCAAUACGAAAGGUGAU